CGGGGCGUAGCCCAGUUUGGUUAGCGCGCCUUCCUUGGGAGCAGGAGGUCGGAGGUUCAAAUCCUCUCGCCCCGACCA
Molecule: transfer RNA, 78 nt
Filed under: Bacillota bacterium
Lineage: Bacteria; Bacillati; Bacillota
Description: Firmicutes bacterium (anaerobic digester metagenome) tRNA-Pro
Rfam family: tRNA
About the family: Transfer RNA (tRNA) molecules are approximately 80 nucleotides in length. Their secondary structure includes four short double-helical elements and three loops (D, anti-codon, and T loops).
Source: RNAcentral